Molecule: transfer RNA, 76 nt
Filed under: Deinococcota bacterium
Lineage: Bacteria; Thermotogati; Deinococcota
Also listed under: 1 other name
Description: tRNA-Lys
Rfam family: tRNA
About the family: Transfer RNA (tRNA) molecules are approximately 80 nucleotides in length. Their secondary structure includes four short double-helical elements and three loops (D, anti-codon, and T loops). Further hydrogen bonds mediate the characteristic L-shaped molecular structure. tRNAs have two regions of fundamental functional importance: the anti-codon, which is responsible for specific mRNA codon recognition, and the 3' end, to which the tRNAs corresponding amino acid is attached (by aminoacyl-tRNA synthetases). tRNAs cope with the degeneracy of the genetic code in two manners: having more than one tRNA (with a specific anti-codon) for a particular amino acid; and 'wobble' base-pairing, i.e. permitting non-standard base-pairing at the 3rd anti-codon position.
Source: RNAcentral
GGGCUGUUAGCUCAACUGGCAGAGCAACUGACUCUUAAUCAGUGGGUUGCAGGUUCGAUUCCUGCACAGCCCACCA